AAACAUUUCAAUGAGAAUAAAACUUUCUUCUUUUCUCAAGCCAAAGUUACCAUCUCUUGAUGAGAAUAAAUGUUGAACAAAGGUAGAUUACUUUGAAGUGGAUUUGGUUUGUUUUGGCUGCUAUUUGGUGUCCUUGUAGGUUCGUGGAGAUUACUCUGAAGAUGUUGGCACAUAGGUAUUUUUACUUGAAAAAGUGAUAUUUACUCUUUCCAUCCCUGUAUAUAAGCAUCUUUUGCUUUUCUCACUUUUAUUAAGAAAAGUUGGAGUAUGUACUAUGUAGUAAGUUUUGCGUUUUCAUAUUCCAAGACACUUAAUGAGGGGACAAAUUUUUAGUUAAAUAAGUGAUUAUAUUUAGGGACAUGGAAGUUUAUUUGAAAAGAGGAGGUAAGGGAAGGAAAUUUCACUUUGCUCUUCUCUUUUCAUUGUUUUAUAUACUUGCAUAUUUGUUCUUUGCAGAACUCUAUAUUGAACAUAAUAGUUUGCUCGAAUUCGGCUUUGUUACAUUCUAAUAGCGCCGUAUUGCAAAAUAAGAACUAUUUGUUCGAAUUCUGCUAUGCAAUAGCACUGAUAUUUUACCACACUAGUACUGAAGAUGUUUAAAUCAAAUAUAAAUUUAACAUUUUGAAUUGCACAUCACAGUAGUUGACAUCCUUGAAAACAAAGAGAUCAAAGUUUAACUUCACUUGAGAGAAUACUGAACAUAACAACAUCUAUACUUUUUCCCUUAAAGAACAGAUAUUUUCUGAGAACACCUUCCCUUUCAAAACCAGCCUUCUCCAACACCCUUUGAGAAGCCACAUUUUCCACAUCAACUCGAGCCUCAAGCCUCUCCAAGUAUGGAAACUCCUUAAAUGCAGCAUCAACCACUUUUUUUACAACCAUAGUGGCAAUCCCUUUGCCCCAAUACAUGGAGCUCAAAGAAUAGCCAAGUUGAGCAGAUUUGUCCCGGCAUCUAUCCGAACACACCUGGAACUCGGUACACCCAAUUGCUUGAUCGCGAAGGCAAAUUGCUCUGAACCAUAGAGAUUUGCUUGCUAUGUUUUGGAUGAAGUCAAUGCCUUUUUCUUUAUUUGUAUAAGGUUCCCAAGUGCAAUACUUGGCCACUUUUGCAUCACUAGUCCACAACAUAACAUCAUCAAGAUCAGAAAGACUAAUGGGUCGAAGAGAGAUUUGGCUCAAGUCAACAACAGAAUACUCUUCAUUAGCAUCUGAUUUGGAAUAGGUAGCAGUUUCUUCCAUUAUGGGAGAUUUGGCUUUGAUGUAUCCAAGGAUUGAUUAUAAUUAACUAGGAAAGGAAACUUUUGAGUUUAGAGGAAAGGAAACUACAUAGUAAAAAGCUGCUAACUGCUAUGAUUGAUUAUGAAGAAUAGGUGCUCA
This 1377-nucleotide long non-coding RNA is filed under the name Medicago truncatula (barrel medic). RNAcentral's name for it is "lncRNA gene6092". The record is from RNAcentral. Lineage: Eukaryota; Viridiplantae; Streptophyta; Magnoliopsida; Fabales; Fabaceae.